RNAcentral lists this small nuclear RNA (114 nucleotides) under Zalophus californianus (California sea lion). The record is from RNAcentral. Lineage: Eukaryota; Metazoa; Chordata; Mammalia; Carnivora; Otariidae.
UUGCUUUGGCAGCACAUAUACUAAAAUUGGAAAAAUACAGGGAAGAUACAGGGAAGAUUAGCAUGGUCCCUGCACAAGGAUGACACACAAAUUUGUGAAGCAUUCCAUUUAAAA